CGGAUAGAGCCAUAUGUCCCGUCCUCCAACCCUAGGAUCAGGAGAUUCUCUCCCCGCCGCCGCCGAUGGCCAGGAGGAUGCGGCGACGCACUGCUGCCCACCUGUUCCUUGAAGGAUCACCGGCGUCGCGCUCCUCAAAGCAACUGCAAUGGACGACGAAAAUCAAUGGCCACUCCAGCUCCCAUGUGUCAAUCACCGGCCGUUGCUGCUUCCUCCUAGUUCAUCAGAAGGACCACAUCGCCGACAGUCCCAUGCGGCAAGAUCCUCCAGCAACGCUUGUCUUCGUGCACAGGCGCGUGGUCGCGCAACAGGUUCUGUAGUUGGCGGCCUUGACUGUACCAGCAGGAACGAAAUAUAAUGCCUUCUAUUUCUCUAACCCAGUGGCAGAGUGGCAGUGUAGCUUGAUAGCUUCUGGAGUAUGCCUGGAGCUAUAUGGAUAUAUACUGCACUUGUUGUUGUUCAUCAGAGUUAGUCUGACCUGCUGAACCGAUGUGAUUAAAAAGCAGCCUAAUGAGAAGAGCCUUUGUUCAGCUGACGGCACAACAAUCUCCGGCGCUGCGGUUGCAUCCACAGGUUGCUGUUCUAUGAUAUUUUGCUGAAUAAUUUGUCCAAUUGUAUGGUUAUGGCUGUACCUAUUUUUCGCAAGCUGUUGUAUGGAUGUACUUUGGUUAGAAUGGAACGAACAGACCUUUAAUCAUGUCAGUUGAAGAGGGGUGCCUGUGGACUCAUCCAAGGCUGCAUCAAUUGUUGAUUCAUGGAGCUGAGCAGGACGAUGUUACCACUGAAGCUUCAGGCGACUGUUGGCCUCUUCCUUGCUGUUAAUUAGUUUUCUAGUAAUUUGUUGUUGAUCGCUUGAUCGUUUCUCUCUCCCUGAAUUUAUGUUGUACCUAUACACUAUUGUUCUCCAGCAAUGAAAA
This is an RNA transcript of Triticum aestivum (bread wheat), 917 nucleotides long. RefSeq lists it as uncharacterized. The record is from RefSeq and is a predicted model, not a curated record. NCBI's taxonomy places the organism in Eukaryota, Viridiplantae, Streptophyta, Magnoliopsida, Poales, Poaceae. The transcript has 2 exons.